GGUAGGGAUAUGGCUGUGUCAUAUAAGAGCAUGAAAUUGCCUCUGUUGCAGUGGCUUCCAGAAGUAUUUAAAAUAAGAGGAAGGACAGUUCUUUGGGGAUGUGAUUUACAGAGCAGCCAAAGCACUAAAAAAGAUGUCUAAAGUCAUGGAACUUUGCUCAGCUUUAGGAUUUUUAAGGUGAAUUUUUUAUCUUGCUGGUGGCCAACAGAAAAUAAACCUUAUUCCUAGAAAUUAAAGUACAUUGUAUGUAAAUUGGAGAGGUGGUCUGUGGUUCAUAAUGGUGUCUCUGAUGAGUCCCUACGGGAGCAACAAGUACAGAAUUAGGCCCAUAUGAAACAGCUUUCUGUGCCUCACAGUUACCAAGCAGUCGGACUCCUCUGUGCUUAGGUCCUGUAGUAUUUUGUGUUACUUAGAGUCAAGCAAACAGAACCCAAAUAGGUGACUGUUAACUGUUCAGUUAUGAAAUAAAGGGUAUGAAACUGUGAAAUUCAUUAAGUUUGUAGAUAGCUUGACACAGUAUUGGGAAGGUGGAAACAUACUCAGUCUAAGGUCUUUAUGUUAUUUUGCCCAAACUUGUGGUGACUCAUCACAUGCCUCUGUUGCACUGGGUGAAAGGCUGUGGGGAAGUUAAUCUUAAAAGCCAAAACUGAGGCUAAGAAAUGCAAUAAAAGGGUUGGAGAAGCACAAAGUUAGAGGGAGAGAAAGCAGAAAAGUGGAAAAUGAAGCACAGCAAGCGCAGGCUCUUGACACAGUCAUUUUUUUAAUGGAUAUUUGUGCAGUGUGGUUUAACAGGGACAGUUAACAAUCUUACUGUGGUGUAAAGUCUGAACCUGUGCCCCCUGUGCACGCUUCACUGACCACAACAAAAUGUGAUAGGAGAUGAAAGAGAACAUUUAACUUUUCACAGGCUUCAUCUGCUUGGUUUUUUCUCUGUCACAGUUGACUGGUAGAACAAAUUUAUCAUUUUCAUAGCCGGUGUGCAUGUUUUCACCAUGCUGGCAUGCAUUAAGAAGAAAGCCCAGCUCUGACUGUGGUGUUGGGUUAUGGUGCCUGGCAGCAGCAUGGGGACCCUGUCCCGUGGGACACAUCCCAGGCAGCAGCUUUGUCCCGCCUGUGUCUUGGUGACAGGCCUGACAGACGGUUCUGUUUUGCUAGCUCAGUUACUGUAGCUGAUUGUUUCUGCACCGCUUUCUGCUGCACGUUCAGUCACCCCCAGGAUGCAGCUGGGGAGCUCUGCACCUUUGUUCAGGGCAUUAUUUUCUUCAUUCAGCUUCCUUUUCCUGGUAGGAUCUGUAAAUAUGUUUGUGCUGUUUCCACCUGUGAUCACAAAUGAUUUUGCUGUUAAUGCUUGUUACUUGUUAAAAAUCCAAAGGAUUUUUGAAUCACAGAUACAUAAAUUUAUUGAUCCUGGCUAUAAGCAGCAGUCAAUUUGCCUGAUGUUAGCUGGUCAAAGAAGAGUCAGUGUAUAUUUAAUAUUUAGAAUAUUUUGGUAUGAAUUUUUGGUAGUUGAAGUACUACUUAGUUUCAUCAUGGAGAGAAUUAUUUCUGCCAUAUGUGUUGUGCUUUUCUCUCAUUUGCAUCCACUCAAAUGUCACAUUUUUGAGGAACAAAGUAUAUGAAAAUUGUUCUGCUCAAAGUUGUCUAUGUAGUCUUAGAAGAGGUGUAUUCAGUCUGAAAGCCUAAUACUGUGCAAUUGUAGAGCAGCCACUGUGGUACGAGAGAAAGGAAACAUUACAAAUAUAAAAAUGGGAGGAAUGGGGGAAAGUAGAAAUGAGUAAAGGGGAAAAUAGCCUAAGAAUGAUGCCACUUCAUUUAGAAGGUUUUAUCUUCUUUCCAAAUACCUCUCAAAAGACAAUAAAUGGUUCUGUCUCUCAGCCAAGCUGUUCGUUGUGGAAGGUGAGCGUGCGGCAGCUUGACAAGCAGAGUCACCAGCAGGCUGGUGGAGCUGGGCCGGCUCGUGUGGCAUCCCCAGAGACCUGCUGGUGCUUCAGGAGGUUGUGAUCUUACCUGUACCCCCAUGCCGUGGGUGGGCAGUCCCCCAGCACCUCUGCUGUGGCCACAGUGAGUGCCUGUGGAGGAAAUGUGGGUUCUCAGGCAGGGAGCUGCUUUGGAGCAGACAGAGGAGUUUUUGCUGCCAGCCUUUACACAGCUGCGAGCAGAGUCAUGGUGGUUCCAUGAAGAAGAAGAGUCGGCUCAUGUGCUGUGUGGCUCGGCAUCCUCACCUGUCUGUGUUGCUGACAUCCUGGCGCAGCAGUGGUGCUGGCAGGGCACCAGCCGUUGGUGCUGCCGUGCCUCCCACGGCUGCGUCCCGCCUCUUGAAUGGUGCCAUUCCCAGUCUGUGCUCAGGUUAUGUGAAGACAAAUGUGGGACAGAUGCAUCCAAUACAGUUUGUCUGUUCUCUGUGUCCAGUUGGCAUAGUGCUUUUUAAAGCUUUAUGACUCAGGUGGGUUACAUUUCACUAGAACAGUGAAAGGAUUCCUCCCAUUACAGUCUUUAAAAGUCAAAUCUAAAAUGCACAAUGAAGGCCACUUUUCUUAAAUGAAGAAACAUUACUUCCACAUGUAAAAAAACUUCCAACGUUGCUGCUUUGACUGAACCAUCUGAACAGCUGUCCUCUGCUACACAAACCUCCUCCUUGUUUUGGGUGCUGUGCCGUGCUCUGCUUGGCCUAAGGUACUGCAGCUUUUAAAUGAAGCCUUUCUACACCGUAAGAGCAAUCUGCAGUGUUUCCACCGGCGUGUGGCAGCUCUGGGAUGCCAGGCUGGCUGCUGCUCCUCGGUAGUUCUCUGAGAAUGGUUGCUGGUUUUGGAAUGAAAAUCUCCCAGUAACUUCCCGGCCCCUGGCACUAGAUGGAGCUUCAAUCUACUUGCACUUGGAAGUCUGUUAAGUUCAACGACAAGAUGAAAAUACAUGGGAAGAAUACAUGAAGAUAUGCAUGCCUGCUGCUACACUUACAGCACCUCUUUCCAUGUUUUUUAGCAGAGUGGUGUAAACCACAAUUUAAUCUAAAUGAAAAUUAAAAUAUUGCCGCAGAA
Onychostruthus taczanowskii (white-rumped snowfinch) is the source of this 3035-nucleotide long non-coding RNA. RefSeq lists it as uncharacterized. The record is from RefSeq and is a predicted model, not a curated record. Lineage: Eukaryota; Metazoa; Chordata; Aves; Passeriformes; Passeridae. The transcript has 2 exons.